Non-coding RNA from Pelobates cultripes (western spadefoot toad), 293 nucleotides. The record is from the annotation of a GenBank genome assembly. NCBI's taxonomy places the organism in Eukaryota, Metazoa, Chordata, Amphibia, Anura, Pelobatidae.
CGGAGGUGUAGUUUGACGCGGUGUGUUACGUGGUGGGGAAGAGAAUAAAAAAAGCCCAGCGAGAUCCCAGCCGCGAACGAAAGCAGUGACGGAGGAGAGGCAGUGUAACCCGGUAAGAGGAAGGAGGAGGAGAGGGAGAGGCUGGAGCACAGACAUGGAGAAGGCCGCAGCCGCCGGGGGCUCUCCCCACACUCUGCCCGGCACACACCCCGGGGGGCUCGGGGGCUGUGAGGAGCUCCACAGCCGGGCUCCCUUUAUCUCUCAUUCCCCAGCCAGCCCUGCGGGGACUGACA